CACCCUUCAAUCCAAUCAAGUUGACACUCAGUAUUAACCAUCACACCAUUAGACAGUGGGAAUCACUCCCUCUUUUUCCCAGCCCCUGGAAACCACGAAUCUAUUUCCCGUCUCUAUAGAUUUGCCUAUUUUGGACAUUUCACUUAAAUGGAAUCAAAGAAUGUAUGGUCUUUUGUGCCUGGCUCCUUUCACUUAACAUAAUGUUUUCAACAUUCAUUCAUGUUUUUGCAUUCAAUCCUUUUAUUACCAAAUAACAUUCCAUUGUUUGGAUAUACCACAUUUUGUUUUUCCAUUCAUCUGUUGAUGGACGUUUAGUUUGCUUCCCCUUAUUGGCUAUUUUGAAUAAUUCUGUUAUAAACAUUCAUGUACAAGUUGUUAUGUGGACAUAUCUUUCUCUUUCUCUUGGGUAGAUACCUAGAAGUGGAAUUGCUAUGUCAUAUGAUAACUCUAUAUGUAACAUUUUUAGGAACUGCCAGACUAUUUCCCAAAGUGGGUGUACCAUUUUACAUCCCCACCAGCAAUGAAUGAGGCUCCAAUUUCUCCACACAUUUAUCAACACUUAAUAUCUUAUUAUUAUUAUUAUUAUUAUUAUUAUUAUUAUUAUUGAGACAGAGUCUUGCUCUGUCACCAAGCUGGAGUGCAGUGGUGCAAUCUCAGCUCACUGCAACCUCCGCCUCCCAGGUUCAAGCGAUUCUCCUGCCUCAGCCUCCCAAGAAGCUGGGACUACACGCAUCCGCUUAUUAUUAUUAUUAUUAUUACAGACAUCCUAAUGGGUGUAACUUGGUAUCUCAUCAUGGUUUUGAUUUGCAUUUCCCUGCUAACUAAGAAUAGUCAGUUUUUUUCAUGUGUUCCUUCUUAAAGUCUGUCCUUAAAGUUCAAUAAAUGCCUGACUUCCUGACAUAAGAAAAAAGCAAAAAAGCACUGAAGGUCAUCACUUUAGAUUGGACAGAUCAGGAUUGCCUAACCCAGAAGUGACAUGAACACUGUCCACAGGUAUCAAGCUGAGUAAAGCCACAAUGUAACUGAGGGAAGCUCUGAGAACCCAUUCAUGUAUUUAAUUCUUGGCAUUAAGGAGGAUGUUUUAAAUCUGAAAUUUACCGUGAUAAAAUAUACUUGUAUAUGUAUAAUGUGUUGGAAGGCGCUUUAAUAUAUGAAAAAAGCGUAGACUUAGAAAUCAAAUGAAUCUGAAUGUUAUUCCUAUUCUGCCAUUUGUUAAUUAGUUGGCUUUGGGCAAGUCAAUCUCUACAAGGCUCAGCUUCCUCACUGGUUACACAGGGAAGCAAAUACCUAAUUCACAGGUUUGUUGUGAAAAUUAAAUUAAAUAAUAGACAGAACCUGCCACUUGGUGAUCACCCCAAUAAGCUGUGGUCCCUUUCUCUUUCUCCUAAUACUUGACGGGGGACAGUUUCGCUGUAGCACAUUGUCAUGGCUUUCAUAACUGUUACACGUUUCAUAGCAACAAGAUGUUCUCUUGGUCGAGGAAAGGAAUUUCCUGUUGUAUUUACUUAGUGUUUGUCAAGGGCCGAUGAUCUGGGGGCCUGAGCCAAUCAGCACACACUCCAGAGCCUUCUCCUAGCCUGGUUCUCAGCAGCUGAGCAAGUUCAAAGAAGAAUCUAAUUGCAUUUUCCCCCGACCUUAAGGACCUCAGAAUCUUCAUGUUGACAACACAGGGAGUUGGUGAGAUGGCUCAAAUGGUACAGAGAAAAUGUGCUGUGUGCUCAGAGGCGAGAUCCCUGGAAGCCUGGGUUUUCUGGGAAGGGUCUUCAAGGUCUUCUAAAUUAAUGAAGAACACAAAUGCCUCAUAACAACAUUCCUUUGAGCUCUUAUUCUGUGUAAGGGACUGCAUUUGUACUUAUCUACCUAGAAGAAUACUUCAGGCCAGGUGCGGUGGCUUGCACCUGUAAUCUCAGAACUUUGGGAGGCUGAGGUGGGAGGAUUGCUUGAGCUCAGGAGUUUGAAACUAGCCCGGGCAACAUGGUGAGACCUUGUCUCUACUAAAAAUAAAUUUUAAAAAUCAGCUGGCACGGUGAUGCAUGCCUGUAGUCCCAGAUACUCAAGAGGCUGAGUUGGGAGGAUUAAUCAAGCCUAGGAUUUCAAGGCUGCAGUGAGCUAUGACUGUGCCACUACACUACAGCGUGAGUGACAGAGUGAGACUCUGUCUCAAAAAAAGGAAUACUUUCACAUUUGAUAUUUUUCAUUUCGCCAUUUUUCAACCUUAAACUAACACCCAAAAUGCUACAUUAAUUUUAUGAUCUAGGACAUGCAUUUUUCCAAAUUGCAUAAAAUUCUGAGUCUCCUUAAACAAAACAGAAAAAAAAAUGUUUCCCAGGGGAGUCUGUUUGCUUCCCAGCAGUUCCAGGAAAUGCUGAGCUGGAGACCUGCUUAGCUCACCCCUUGUGGAGAAAAUUUGAUCAGAUGUGAACAGACGGUGGUAGAACUAAACGUCCCUCUCUGAAGCUAUUUAUGCAAAAUAUUAUUUCCCCACCGGCUCUGCGUAUUAUUUGAGUGUGAACGAUAUUAUUUGCCUACAUCCGGCACAUCUUAUUAUUUGGCUCUAUUUUGACAGCAAACCACUUUAUCAGACCAUGUGCAAUUUACAUCUCACUUUUCCAAGGCACAGUUCUUUUUAGGAGAUGCACUUCUUUGUGAAGAUGGACAACACUAAACUUCAGUCUAAAGGUCUGUGGCCGAUUGCUUGCAUAUAAAGAGAUUUUCAUAAAUGUCCUCAAUAGCUAUGAAAAACUGGAAAAAUUAUAUCAUUAGCCACCCCGAUGUCUUCAGAGUUGCUGAGUGGUCAGCCCUUCAUUUGUGGACCACGCUGUGCCGAAACUGUUCUGCCAGUGCCCGCCUGACUGAGCCGCGUCUGGGCCCCCCAGCCACUCCACGGCUUCAGAGUCUGUGUCUUGAUGCCUCAGUGUUCUGCCCUCUCGGGCGGAGAAUGUUAAAGCCCAAAGGAAAUUUCAGACUUAAAGUGUCUGUGAUGAAAGGGACCUCGAGGGUCAUCUGCCCAAUGCGUUUAUGGAUGAGGACACUGAAUUGCAGCAGCGUGAAGUGGCCUGCCAAGGUCAUUCGGUGAGUUAAAGGCUGAGCCCAGGCUCCAUCCUGGGUGUCCUGACGUCCAGUCUACGGCCCUGUCCCCCCACUUGCAGUGGCCUCGUGGUGACUUGUGUUUUCCCUUUCAUGGCGGGAUGCAGGGAGAGUGAUGGCGGUCAGCGUUGCAACUCUCAAGCUCCUAUUGCUUCCACACAGCCAGCUCGGGUGGGGCAUCCUCUCCGUGAAGUUCCAUUUAGCUAGUAACUGUGUUACUCGGUUAAUUAAGUGGGAAAACACAGGCGCCACCCUUGACUUUUAAUAGUUUCAAUGCAACCUGUUCCCAUGGUGUUUUAACACCUCCUCCCCCACCCAACUCCACCCAACACCCACCUCUCCAGCAAGGAAUGAAUGUACACACUGGAGCUGUCUUCCCAGUAGGAAGGCAAGCUUCCGAAUGGGAGGUGCAGCUUUUUUAAAACGCUUUUGCUGCAUCAGAAGAGGUGGAG
This 3539-nucleotide long non-coding RNA is filed under the name Homo sapiens (human). RNAcentral's name for it is "HSALNT0049105". Lineage: Eukaryota; Metazoa; Chordata; Mammalia; Primates; Hominidae. The record is from RNAcentral.